Homo sapiens (human) is the source of this 289-nucleotide long non-coding RNA. RefSeq lists it as uncharacterized. NCBI's taxonomy places the organism in Eukaryota, Metazoa, Chordata, Mammalia, Primates, Hominidae. The record is from RefSeq and is a predicted model, not a curated record. The transcript is spliced from 3 exons.
GUCCAGGAAAAAUUUGGGACAAAGUGAUCGAUCUUAAUUUCUAGACUUCAUUCUGUCUUCUGUUCUUGACAGAUCUUGCUGUGUUGCUCAGCUGAAGUAUGGUGUUGUGAUCAAAACUCACUGCAGCCUGGAACUCCUGGGCUCAAGACAUCCUCCUGCCUUGGCUCCCGAGUAGCUGGGACCACAGGUGCAAGCCUCUGCACUGCAGUGCUCCUCUGCAGCAACCUCAGAACAGUGGCCCACACUCCUAGAAUUUGAGAAAAUGGCAUCUUCUUCAGAGGACAGAGGU